GACGAACGCUGGCGGCGUGCUUAACACAUGCAAGUCGAACGGUAAGGCUCCAGCUUGCUGGGGUACACGAGUGGCGAACGGGUGAGUAACACGUGGGUGACCUGCCCUGCACUUCGGGAUAAGCCUGGGAAACUGGGUCUAAUACCGGAUAGGACUGCACCGUGAGGGUGUGGUGGAAAGUUUUUUCGGUGUGGGAUGGGCCCGCGGCCUAUCAGCUUGUUGGUGGGGUAAUGGCCUACCAAGGCGGCGACGGGUAGCCGGCCUGAGAGGGUGGACGGCCACAUUGGGACUGAGACACGGCCCAGACUCCUACGGGAGGCAGCAGUGGGGAAUAUUGCACAAUGGGCGGAAGCCUGAUGCAGCGACGCCGCGUGGGGGAUGACGGCCUUCGGGUUGUAAACUCCUUUCACCAUCGACGAAGGGUUUCUGACGGUAGAUGGAGAAGAAGCACCGGCUAACUACGUGCCAGCAGCCGCGGUAAUACGUAGGGUGCGAGCGUUGUCCGGAAUUACUGGGCGUAAAGAGCUCGUAGGUGGUUUGUCGCGUCGUCUGUGAAAUUCCGGGGCUUAACUCCGGGCGUGCAGGCGAUACGGGCAUAACUUGAGUACUGUAGGGGAGACUGGAAUUCCUGGUGUAGCGGUGAAAUGCGCAGAUAUCAGGAGGAACACCGGUGGCGAAGGCGGGUCUCUGGGCAGUAACUGACGCUGAGGAGCGAAAGCAUGGGGAGCGAACGGGAUUAGAUACCCUGGUAGUCCAUGCCGUAAACGGUGGGCGCUAGGUGUGGGUUUCCUUCCACGGGAUCCGUGCCGUAGCUAACGCAUUAAGCGCCCCGCCUGGGGAGUACGGCCGCAAGGCUAAAACUCAAAGGAAUUGACGGGGGCCCGCACAAGCGGCGGAGCAUGUGGAUUAAUUCGAUGCAACGCGAAGAACCUUACCUGGGCUUGACAUAUACAGGAUCGCGCCAGAGAUGGUGUUUCCCUUGUGGCUUGUAUACAGGUGGUGCAUGGUUGUCGUCAGCUCGUGUCGUGAGAUGUUGGGUUAAGUCCCGCAACGAGCGCAACCCUUGUCUUAUGUUGCCAGCACGUUGUGGUGGGGACUCGUAAGAAACUGCCGGGGUUAACUCGGAGGAAGGUGGGGAUGACGUCAAAUCAUCAUGCCCCUUAUGUCCAGGGCUUCACACAUGCUACAAUGGUCGGUACAGUGGGUUGCCAGUCCGUGAGGGCGAGCUAAUCCCGCAAAGCCGGUCUCAGUUCGGAUCGGGGUCUGCAACUCGACCCCGUGAAGUCGGAGUCGCUAGUAAUCGCAGAUCAGCAACGCUGCGGUGAAUACGUUCCCGGGCCU
This 1341-nucleotide ribosomal RNA is filed under the name uncultured bacterium. RNAcentral describes it as "partial 16S ribosomal RNA". It matches the Rfam family "Bacterial small subunit ribosomal RNA", at positions 28 to 1381 of the family's 1533-position model. The record is from RNAcentral.